This 446-nucleotide long non-coding RNA is filed under the name Mytilus galloprovincialis (Mediterranean mussel). The record is from RNAcentral. Lineage: Eukaryota; Metazoa; Mollusca; Bivalvia; Mytilida; Mytilidae.
CAGGCAUAUAUGAUAUUUUGGGAAAUGAAUGCUCUCUAUGAAAACAAAACAAUGAUUUCUAACUAAUGCAGCACUCAAUCACAUCACAGAAAUAACAAUGAUAAAUACAUUACGAACAUUUAUGAAUGUCAACUAUUUAAGAAGACAAUAUGUGAUCUGUAAACCAAUUAUACAUUAGGGCUGUUCACAGAUUUAUUAGGGGGAGGGGAUUUAUUUAUUUAUUUUAUUAAGAAUUAUUUAUUAUUACAUAUGGUUGCAUUUUUCUGAGAAAUUGCUAUACAAAAAUAUCUAUUUUACGGGUGGUCAGAGUUGUAUAAGAGUGACUCUCACCCCCCCAUGCGUUUAUUUCUGGAAACCUCUAAAUGUUAUUUUGAUGAAAACAAUACGUAAAAAAAAUCUAGUACAAGCUUUUAUACAAUUAAAAAAAUACCCCAAAUGAAUUUAAC